UAAUGUACCAGAGAGCAUAGUGUAAAUAAGCAUAACAUUUAUCUCUCUCUGUUUCUACAGUCUCCAGCUUUUUUGUCCUUUGCCAAUCUCAAACCUGUUUUUUGACUGCAAGUCAUAUAAACAUUUAAAACACAUGAAAUAUAAUGUUGCUAAUAUUUUGCUAAUGUCUCUUCAUGCUCCCACCAACUCCAAUGGCACACCGGGGCCAGCCACACCCACCAUCUUCACUGGGACAUCAUACCGCUCGGUUCCCUUUCCAUCAGUUCUUCAAAGACCUGCUACACACUCACGUGUUGUC
Etheostoma cragini (Arkansas darter) is the source of this 298-nucleotide long non-coding RNA. RefSeq lists it as uncharacterized. The transcript has 2 exons. The record is from RefSeq and is a predicted model, not a curated record. NCBI's taxonomy places the organism in Eukaryota, Metazoa, Chordata, Actinopteri, Perciformes, Percidae.